AUGAACGCUGGCGGCGUGCUUAACACAUGCACGUCGCGCGAGAAGUUUUGAAAAGAUUCUUCGGAUGAAAUUUAAAAUGGAAAGCGGCGGACGGGUGAGUAACGCGUAGGCAACCUGCCCCAUACAAAGGGAUAGCAUUUGGAAACGAAUAUUAAUACCUUAUGAAACUUAACUAGUGCAUGCUAGGUAGGUCAAAGAUUUAUCGGUAUGGGAUGGGCCUGCGUCUGAUUAGCUAGUUGGUGAGGUAACGGCUCACCAAGGCGACGAUCAGUAGCCGACCUGAGAGGGUGAACGGCCACAUUGGAACUGAGACACGGUCCAAACUCCUACGGGAGGCAGCAGUGGGGAAUAUUGCACAAUGGGGGAAACCCUGAUGCAGCAACGCCGCGUGAACGAUGAAGGCCUUUGGGUCGUAAAGUUCUGUUCUAGGUGAUGAAAACUGACAGUAACCUAGGAGAAAGCCCCGGCUAACUCCGUG
RNAcentral lists this ribosomal RNA (478 nucleotides) under uncultured bacterium. RNAcentral describes it as "partial 16S ribosomal RNA". It matches the Rfam family "Bacterial small subunit ribosomal RNA", at positions 29 to 507 of the family's 1533-position model. The record is from RNAcentral.